GACGAACGCUGGCGGCGUGCUUAACACAUGCAAGUCGAACGGUGAUGCUCCAGCUUGCUGGAGUGGAUCAGUGGCGAACGGGUGAGUAACACGUGAGCAACCUGCCCCAGACUCUGGAAUAAGCGCUGGAAACGGCGUCUAAUACUGGAUACGAAACUGGCCCGCAUGGGCAUGGUUUGGAAAGUUUUUCGGUUUGGGAUGGGCUCGCGGCCUAUCAGCUUGUUGGUGAGGCAAUGGCUCACCAAGGCGACGACGGGUAGCCGGCCUGAGAGGGCGACCGGCCACACUGGGACUGAGACACGGCCCAGACUCCUACGGGAGGCAGCAGUGGGGAAUAUUGCACAAUGGGCGAAAGCCUGAUGCAGCGACGCCGCGUGAGGGAUGACGGCCUUCGGGUUGUAAACCUCUUUCAGCAGGGAAGAAGCGAAAGUGACGGUACCUGCAGAAGAAGCACCGGCUAACUACGUG
This 468-nucleotide ribosomal RNA is filed under the name uncultured bacterium. RNAcentral's name for it is "partial 16S ribosomal RNA". It matches the Rfam family "Bacterial small subunit ribosomal RNA", at positions 28 to 507 of the family's 1533-position model. The record is from RNAcentral.